GACCUGGUAGUAUGAUGGUUAGUGCACCUGUGUUCAGUGACGGAGUCGCAGUGAUUUAUUCAGGGGAUCCUUGUUCGAUUCGGGGUCAGGUCA
Non-coding RNA from Mycena latifolia, 93 nucleotides. The record is from the annotation of a GenBank genome assembly. NCBI's taxonomy places the organism in Eukaryota, Fungi, Basidiomycota, Agaricomycetes, Agaricales, Mycenaceae.